CAGUCGCCGCGGUAAUACAGAGGGUGCGAGCGUUAAUCGGAUUUACUGGGCGUAAAGCGUGCGUAGGCGGCUAAUUGAGUCGGAUGUGAAAUCCCCAAGCUUAACUUGGGAAUUGCAUUCGAUACUGGUUAGCUAGAGUGUGGGAGAGGAUGGUAGAAUUCCAGGUGUAGCGGUGAAAUGCGUAGAGAUCUGGAGGAAUACCGAUGGCGAAGGCAGCCAUCUGGCCUAACACUGACGCUGAGGUACGAAAGCAUGGGGAGCAAACAGGAUUAGAUACCCGCGUAGUCCCUGUCUCUUAUAC
This 301-nucleotide ribosomal RNA is filed under the name uncultured bacterium. RNAcentral's name for it is "partial 16S ribosomal RNA". It matches the Rfam family "Bacterial small subunit ribosomal RNA", at positions 509 to 807 of the family's 1533-position model. The record is from RNAcentral.